Molecule: ribosomal RNA, 253 nt
Filed under: uncultured bacterium
Lineage: Bacteria
Description: partial 16S ribosomal RNA
Rfam family: Bacterial small subunit ribosomal RNA
Source: RNAcentral
UACGUAGGUGGCAAGCGUUGUCCGGAUUUACUGGGCGUAAAGAGCGCGCAGGCGGUCGUUCAAGUCGCGUGUGAAAGCCCCCGGCUCAACUGGGGAGGGUCACGCGAUACUGAUCGACUCGAAGGCAGGAGAGGGUAGUGGAAUUCCCGGUGUAGUGGUGAAAUGCGCAGAUAUCAGGAGGAACACCAAUGGCGAAGGCAGCUCACUGGGACGGUAUUGACGCUGAGACGCGAAAGCGUGGGGAGCAAACAGG